AUUGAACGCUGGCGGCAGGCCUAACACAUGCAAGUCGAGCGGAUGAAGGGAGCUUGCUCCUGGAUUCAGCGGCGGACGGGUGAGUAAUGCCUAGGAAUCUGCCUGGUAGUGGGGGAUAACGUCCGGAAACGGGCGCUAAUACCGCAUACGUCCUGAGGGAGAAAGUGGGGGAUCUUCGGACCUCACGCUAUCAGAUGAGCCUCGGUCGGAUUAGCUAGUUGGUGGGGUAAAGGCCUACCAAGGCGACGAUCCGUAACUGGUCUGAGAGGAUGAUCAGUCACACUGGAACUGAGACACGGUCCAGACUCCUACGGGAGGCAGCAGUGGGGAAUAUUGGACAAUGGGCGAAAGCCUGAUCCAGCCAUGCCGCGUGUGUGAAGAAGGUCUUCGGAUUGUAAAGCACUUUAAGUUGGGAGGAAGGGCAGUAAGUUAAUACCUUGCUGUUUUGACGUUACCAACAGAAUAAGCACCGGCUAACUUCGUG
Molecule: ribosomal RNA, 484 nt
Filed under: uncultured bacterium
Lineage: Bacteria
Description: partial 16S ribosomal RNA
Rfam family: Bacterial small subunit ribosomal RNA
Source: RNAcentral